RNAcentral lists this unclassified non-coding RNA (297 nucleotides) under Hevea brasiliensis (rubber tree). Lineage: Eukaryota; Viridiplantae; Streptophyta; Magnoliopsida; Malpighiales; Euphorbiaceae. The record is from RNAcentral.
GUCAAGCCCCGUCGCAAAGAGAAUCAUUCUUUCAAAUCCCAAACCAAAUCCACAGUGCUUCACCGUCCCAUAGCGCCGGAGGUCAAGGUACCAUUCAUAUGGCUCCAGAGGCAACCCUGCUUCUGUUAUUCUUUUCAUAAGAACAUCCAACCGCUCCUCCCUUUGACUUCCUCCAACCAGUUCACCAACCUUGGGAACAAGCAAGUCCAUAGCUGCGACUGUCUCAUUAUCAUCAUUAAGUCUCAUAUAAAAGGCCUUUAUUCCUUUAGGAUAGUUAUACACUAUGACAGGCUUUUU